GACGAACGCUGGCGGCGUGCCUAACACAUGCAAGUCAAGGAGAAAGGGGUAGCAAUAUCCCGAGUAAACUGGCGCACGGGUGAGUAAGGCGUAGGCAACCUGCCUAUAGGACGGGAACAACUCAGCGAAAGCUGAACUAAUACCCGAUAAUGCAGCGGCAUCGCAUGAUGAUGUUGUUAAAAGCCCGCAAGGGCGCCUAUAGAUGGGCCUGCGUCCCAUUAGGUAGUUGGUGAGGUAACGGCCCACCAAGCCUACGAUGGGUAGCUGGUCUGAGAGGAUGAUCAGCCACACUGGAACUGAGACACGGUCCAGACUCCUACGGGAGGCAG
RNAcentral lists this ribosomal RNA (329 nucleotides) under uncultured Chlorobiota bacterium. Its description in RNAcentral is "bacterial SSU rRNA". It matches the Rfam family "Bacterial small subunit ribosomal RNA", at positions 28 to 351 of the family's 1533-position model. Lineage: Bacteria; Pseudomonadati; Chlorobiota. The record is from RNAcentral.